AAACUUUCUUUCAAAGGGAUUUGCAGGACAAUCAAAUUAACAUGUUUGUUCCUUUUUUUUUAGCUCCAUGUGCUCCAACUAACCUGGUAGUCAAAACUGAAUGUGGUGCUAACUUGGCAAUUCUAAACUGGGCUCCCAGUUUAUACGCCAUCUCCUACAGAGCUACCUUUACUGGAACCCAUAACCACACUGUUUCCUGUUCUACUAAUUCAACAACCUGCUCAGUAAAAGUCGACUGUGGACACCAGUACUCAGCAGUUGUGGUCGCUUCUACCGCAUCAUGCAGCAGCAGUUCUUCACCUUUAACUUUUAACUCAGGUAAGUGUUCAGCUUUUGUUUUUGCUUUGAUCAGAAAAAUCACCGACCAGAUUGUGGAAUGGAAACGUUUUCUGCCUCCAAAACAGCUCCCUGUCUGCCUGACCGCCUGCAAGCCGAGCUGAACUGCAGCACCAACAGCUUUUUCGUGCACUGGAGAGGGAGCGUCGGGAAUGUUGGUUUGUACACUGCCAUCGCCAUUGGCAGUGACGGCUCGCGUGUGAGCUGUAAUUCCACCAGUACUGAAUGCACCAUUCACAACGUGAAGUGUGGCCUCCUGUACAGCGUCGUUGUCACCAUGUCAUCUGUUGACUGUGCCGUCAUCCAGGGCUCAGACUACAAGAUCUAUUCAGCUCCUUGUAAACCAGACCAAGUGUCUGUGAGUUUGCAGUGCAGCACUAACGUGGCAUUGAUCACCUGGGAGCACUCAGGCCCUGACCAGACUCAGGAGGUCACAGCGACAGACAGUAGAGGACUCACAGCUACCUGCUACUCCAGCGGCUCCAACUGCACCUUCAACCAGCUGAGCUGUGGAAAGACGUAUGCCAUCAGUGUGGUAGGCCACACCAACUCAUGCAGCAGUGAGCCGGCUGUCGCCCAGGUGCUCCAAACAGGUACUCACACCUAGCAGGCAGAAUUUCUCUUUGCAUCUAGAAGUACAAAUACCCUUUCCAAUUACAGUUGGUGAGUUUAUGUUAAAAAAUGUCCUGAAUGUCACAAUGUAAUAGUUGGCAUGCAGAUUAGUAUUAAAAACUUGUAACAGACCUUCAAGAAGUAUACAGUACCUAGAAAU
RNAcentral lists this long non-coding RNA (1108 nucleotides) under Oryzias sinensis (Chinese medaka). Its description in RNAcentral is "lncRNA (ENSOSIG00000008143.1)". The record is from RNAcentral. Lineage: Eukaryota; Metazoa; Chordata; Actinopteri; Beloniformes; Adrianichthyidae.